Non-coding RNA from Pogona vitticeps (central bearded dragon), 359 nucleotides. Lineage: Eukaryota; Metazoa; Chordata; Lepidosauria; Squamata; Agamidae. The record is from RefSeq and is a predicted model, not a curated record.
CUCAGUAUAAGUACCUUGGCACCAGGACACUCCCUUCAGUUGUGUAAACCGCCGCAAGGAGAAAAAUAUUGCAUGACAUGACAGAGGGGAACUCAGGUGAGAUGUGUGAAUCACAGAGGCCCACUCGAAAAACUACAAUUACAGAAGCUCUAGCAUAUUCCGAAGAGGCUCCGCGCAGAUGCGGAUCACCCACAGUGUGAUUCACAGAGGCCAUGAAGAAGAACCAGUCUCCGUAACCAGCCAGCCCUCCCAAGGAGAGUGCGAAAAGGCAGGUAGCCGGUUUGGUCUAUAUAAAAAAAACUCACCAACUACAGUUUGCUCCAAAUCCACCAUGACAGCCCGUGGCACAUGUUUCCCAG